Small nucleolar RNA from Vicia villosa (hairy vetch), 107 nucleotides. Lineage: Eukaryota; Viridiplantae; Streptophyta; Magnoliopsida; Fabales; Fabaceae. The record is from RefSeq and is a predicted model, not a curated record.
AGGCCAUGGUGUGGACAAUCUCUCAAAAGGUCUUUAUAUCUCUCCCAGGCUUCAAAAAGUGAUUCACCUUCGUUUUGAGUGAACAUAUUAAUUAGGUUUCUAAGGAC